This is a long non-coding RNA of Bubalus bubalis (water buffalo), 554 nucleotides long. RefSeq lists it as uncharacterized. The transcript has 3 exons. The record is from RefSeq and is a predicted model, not a curated record. Lineage: Eukaryota; Metazoa; Chordata; Mammalia; Artiodactyla; Bovidae.
UACAGCGGGGCAUGGUUAUGUGGCAGAGUUCGCGGCAGGAGUGUUUUAUGUCACUUUGUAUUAGAUAAUGAGCAUAUCCAUCCAGAUUCCUAAAUACAAUCCAAACUGGUGCAGAAGAAGCCUUAAGGAGCUGGAGAGAAUAAAUCGAAGAGCUAGAUAUGAAGUUCAGAAAGUUUAAUAGAAGAGAUGGAGACAGUAAUGCCUUAAAAGACUGGAUGCCGGAAAACAUGGAAUUCUUUUCCUCUGAUGACUAAUUUAAAAUACAAAAUGAGCUACUUCUUUCUUCAGGGAAACAUUAUAAACUCGAAUACUUCCCCUCGAAACCCAGCCACCAUGUUGGGAAGAAGCCCAGGCCACAUGGAAAGGCCACGUGUGGUGACCGACUGUCAAGCACUAGACAUGUGAACAAAUGAACCUUCGGAUAAUUCCAGCCCCCAGCCUCUGAGCCUUCCCGUGGGGCCCCCAGUCAUUAAGAAGCCAUUUCUCCUAUGCUAUGCCUAAAAUUUGGACUCAUCAAAAUUGUAAAAGAUAAUACAUGAUUAUUUUUACUUUAA